GUGGGGUCCUGAGCAAUGCCUGGCACUGUGUCCCUGUCACUGUCACCCGCUCAGGGACAUCAGGGACAUCAAGGAGCCCUGGAGAUCAAUGGGAUCUGUGGAUCCUAAAGGGUUCCAUGGCCCCAAAACGUCCUGCAGACCCCAAAGAGUCCUGCAGACCCCAAAAUGUCCUGCAGACCCCAAAAUGUCCUAUGGACCCCAUUGGGUUCCAUGGCCCCAAUUGGUCUGCAGACCCCAAAAUGUCCUGCAGACCCCAAUGGGUCAUACAGACCCCAAUGGUUCUGCAGACCCCAAAACAUCCUACAGACCCCAAAGUGUCCUGUAGAUCCCAAUGGGUUCCAUGGCCCCAAUGGGCCCUGCAGACCCCAAAUCAUCCCACAGAUCCCAGAGCCCUGCAGACCCCAAUGGGUUCCAUGGCCCCAAAGUGUCCUAUGGACCCCAAUGGGUUCUACACACCCCAAUGGUCCAAUGGACCCCAAAAUAUUCUACAGACCCCAAAAUGUCCUGCAGACCCCAAUGGGUUCUGCAGGCCCCCAGCUCCUAUUGACCCCAAAAGCUUCCACGGACCCCAAAAGGAUUUUAUGCCUCCCCCAAAGGAUUUUAUGCCCCCCCACAAAGGAUUUUAUGGCCCCCCUCAAAGGGUUCUGGAGACCCCAAAAGGGUUUUAUGGACCCCAAAGGGUUUUAUGGACUCUAAAGGAUUUAAUGGACCCCAAAGGGUUCUGGAGACCCCAAAAGGGUUUUAUGGACUCUAAAGGGUUUUAUGGACACCAAAGGGUUCUGGAGACCCCAAAAGGAUUUUAUGGACCCCCCAAAGGGUUUUAUGGACUCCAAAGGGUUUUAUGGACCCCAGAGGGUUUUAUGGACCCCAAAAAGUUCUGGUGACCCCAAAGAUUUCGAUGGCCCCGAAGGAUUCUGCAGGUUCCUCACAGCUC
RNAcentral lists this long non-coding RNA (934 nucleotides) under Serinus canaria (Common canary). RNAcentral's name for it is "lncRNA (ENSSCAG00000001417.1)". Lineage: Eukaryota; Metazoa; Chordata; Aves; Passeriformes; Fringillidae. The record is from RNAcentral.